Quercus robur (English oak) is the source of this 1061-nucleotide RNA transcript. It is a transcript of the gene named transcription factor bHLH162, with no coding region annotated. The transcript is spliced from 5 exons. NCBI's taxonomy places the organism in Eukaryota, Viridiplantae, Streptophyta, Magnoliopsida, Fagales, Fagaceae. The record is from RefSeq and is a predicted model, not a curated record.
UUAUUUUGCUUUCACCUUUGCCUUUGUAUCAGAAAAAGCAGUUCCAACAAGUUAAAUGACCAACGGCUGCUGAGGUGUUGAAUUUGAUAUUGUGUUUUCUGCUAGUUAACUCGGUGUAUCUUCUAGCUGGGCAUAUUGAUGGAGAACAACCCUAGUUCAUCAAGGACUGACCGAAAAACCAUUGAGAGAAACAGGAGAAAUCAGAUGAAGGACCUAUACUCCCAGCUUUAUUCUCUUGUACCCCAUCAAACCUCAAGGGGGCUGCAGGAAGUGACAUCGCUGCCGGAUCAACUAGAUGAAGCUGCAAACUAUAUAAAGAGGCUACAGACAAAGUUGGAGAGAAUGAAGGAGAAGAAAAACAAUCUAAUGGGAAUUCAUGAAAAGUCAAACGCAAGCACCGAUUGUGGAAUGACGAUGGGUUUUAAGCCACCACAAAUUGAGAUUCACGAAGUGGGUUCUGCUUUAGAGGUUGUUUUAAUAACUGGGUUAGAUUUUCAGUUUAUGUUCAAUGAGACUAUUCGCGUGCUUCAUGAAGAGGGAGCUGAGAUUGUUAAUGCCAGCUUCACUGUUGUUGAAGAUACAGUGUUCCACACAAUUCAUUCUAAGGUUGGGGAUUCUGCAUUGGGUUAUGGAGCUGCAGGCAUAUAUGAGAGACUAAAUAAGUUUGUCAGUGAUGCCAGUGGAAUUUGAAGUACGACUGUGUUAUAUUUACUCAUAAUAUUUACAUAAUUGGUCAAAAGUCGAUCUGGACGUGAGGUCAAUAUGGAAAAUAAGGCAUCCCGUGAAAAGGUUUAAGGAAGAUGAGAAGGUGCUUUCUAACACUUGGAGGGCUUGUUUAUUUGCGAAGAUGACUAAAGAACAACGUCGGUUUUGAGGGGUGCAUGCAAGAAAUAAUUUUGAAUAGACAACAAAUCUAAGAUUGCACUUUUUUUUUCUUUCUAUCCUUGGUCUUCUCAUAAUGAUGUGUAUGACUCAUCCAAAUAAGAAUAGUGAUUUAUUUGUAUGUCAACAAAUAAUUUAGGUCCCAAUGUCAUAUUCAAAUAAGGCAGCGUGUGUCACUG